This 969-nucleotide long non-coding RNA is filed under the name Diabrotica virgifera virgifera (western corn rootworm). Its description in RNAcentral is "uncharacterized LOC126880244". Lineage: Eukaryota; Metazoa; Arthropoda; Insecta; Coleoptera; Chrysomelidae. The record is from RNAcentral.
GAUUAUGUACAAAAAAUGUACAAUGUAAAUAAAUUGAACCAAGUAAUGUACUAAAAUAUGCUAUGUUAUAAUUUAAAACUCGUUAUGUUAGUCUUUUGAAAAAAAUUAAACUCAAAAGAGAUAUACUUGUUUACAGUGCAAAUUAAUGGCAAUAAUAGGGAUUUACGAUUUAAUUUGCAGGAAAAACAUGGGCAACCUACCCAGUUGGUAAAAUUUCAAUUCAAAAACUCUUUAGAUUUUACUGUGUGGAUGUCACAGGAAGAGAAACAAAAUAAUAUUCAGUCACAGGAGUACAAGAACAUGAAACAUCUUAUUAUGUAUGUAUGCCAUUCUCAAACAAUUAUUGUACAAAACAAGAUUAGAGAAGAGCUUUAAAAUCCCAAGGAUCCUGCGAAAAGAAAAGUGAAAAUGUUUUCUCAAUUAAUGUAGUAUAGAUAGACAUUUUUCUUUAUUUUAGUAUUAAAUAAUUAUUUAGAAUAUUAAUAGGUAUUAGUUUUAAUAGUAUUAAUAUGUAUUGUAUGAAUAAUUCCCAUCAUAUAUCUUCUGGCUAAAGUUACAAAAUAAAUAAAAAUGAAAAAACAUUUAAGUGGUGUAGCACCUUUACUUUACCUGGGGACGAGGUGAGUUAUUAGGUAAAUUCUAUUUUCUUACAUAAUAUAGGUACAUAUAUAAUAUACUUAAAAAUUAAUGGUGGUAUUAUUGUGGUUUAUAUUGAAAGCCAAAGCAAGUAAGAAUAAGAAGAUAUAGGUAGCAGUAUAAGAAGACGUGGCUACAGGUGAAGCGUGUUCAUGAAUGUGUUAAUAAUAAUAAUUUUAUAUCUAUUUUGUUAAUACAUUUUACUAUUAAAGACAAUUAUUAAAAUAUGCCAAAAACGCCCACAAAGUGGCUUUAAGUUUUAUUACACAGUAUGUGGACUUCAACUAGGAAGAUUAUGUUAAGUAUGAGCAGAAUAAAGGCUAACAAUUUUGA